GGCCUACUUUACUUAAACUAGACUAAGGCUCGUGGUAAAACGCAAAACAGUAACUACAACGAGAAAGGUUGCGGGUGCGCUCGCGAUCACACACAACUCACACAAUGUCGAGUCUUUCUCGAUUCUCGGACGACGCGGACCUUUCUAAUCGGUUGGCCUGUAUUUUCGAUCGUUCGAAGCGAGGUAUUAUCCUCGUUACUUCUCAAAGGAGGCGCGACGGUGUCAACCUUCGGACCAAACGCAUCGUAAUACUCACUCACAUAAAAAGAAAAAAAUUUACUAACACCGGGCAAAAAAUGAAGAGAUAUGUUUCAUUCGAAAAUAAACAAAACGUGUUCGAGAUAAGUAUUUA
Vespa velutina is the source of this 352-nucleotide long non-coding RNA. RefSeq lists it as uncharacterized. The record is from RefSeq and is a predicted model, not a curated record. Lineage: Eukaryota; Metazoa; Arthropoda; Insecta; Hymenoptera; Vespidae. The transcript has 3 exons.